RNAcentral lists this small nuclear RNA (202 nucleotides) under Helianthus annuus (common sunflower). Its description in RNAcentral is "U2 spliceosomal RNA". It matches the Rfam family "U2 spliceosomal RNA". Rfam says of the family: U2 is a small nuclear RNA (snRNA) component of the spliceosome (involved in pre-mRNA splicing). Lineage: Eukaryota; Viridiplantae; Streptophyta; Magnoliopsida; Asterales; Asteraceae. The record is from RNAcentral.
AUACCUUUCUCGGCCUUUUGGCUAAGAUCAAGUGUAGUAUCUGUUCUUAUCAGUUUAAUAUAAUAUCUGAUAUGUGAGCCAUCGGCUCACUCGAUAUUAAUCUUAUUUUUUUAUGGGGAAAGGCCCAUCACAAUAGCUUGCUAUUGGGGUCUUUGAGCGUCGCCUUGGCGUUGCACUACUGUCUUGGCCUGGCGCACCCCUG